This 494-nucleotide ribosomal RNA is filed under the name marine bacterium SIMO IS-S76-285. RNAcentral's name for it is "bacterial SSU rRNA". It matches the Rfam family "Bacterial small subunit ribosomal RNA", at positions 37 to 586 of the family's 1533-position model. Lineage: Bacteria; Pseudomonadati; Pseudomonadota; Alphaproteobacteria. The record is from RNAcentral.
UGGCGGCAGGCCUACACAUGCANGUCGAGCGAGACCUUCGGGUCUAGCGGCGGACGGUUGANUAACGCGUGGGAACGUACCCUNUUCUGCAGGAUAGCCACUGGAAACGGUGAGUAAUACUGCAUACGCCCUUCGGGGGAAAGAUUUAUCGGAGAAGGAUCGGCCCGCGUUAGAUUAGGUAGUUGGUGGGGUAAUGGCCUACCAAGCCUACGAUCUAUAGCUGGUUUGAGAGGAUGAUCAGCCACACUGGGACUGAGACACGGCCCAGACUCCUACGGGAGGCAGCAGUGGGGAAUCUUAGACAAUGGGGGCAACCCUGAUCUAGCCAUGCCGCGUGAGUGAUGAAGGCCUUAGGGUCGUAAAGCUCUUUCGCUGGGGAAGAUAAUGACGGUCCCAGUAAAGAAACCCGGCUACUCCGUGCCAGCAGCCCGCGGUAAUCNGAGGGGGUUAGCGNUGUCGGAAUACUGGCGUAAACGCGCGUGGCNGAUAAAAAG